RNAcentral lists this ribosomal RNA (233 nucleotides) under uncultured Pseudomonas sp. Its description in RNAcentral is "partial 16S ribosomal RNA". It matches the Rfam family "Bacterial small subunit ribosomal RNA", at positions 121 to 354 of the family's 1533-position model. Lineage: Bacteria; Pseudomonadati; Pseudomonadota; Gammaproteobacteria; Pseudomonadales; Pseudomonadaceae. The record is from RNAcentral.
GGAAUCUGCCUGGUAGUGGGGGACGAACGUUUCGAAAGGAACGCUAAUACCGCAUACGUCCUACGGGAGAAAGCAGGGACCUUCGGGCCUUGCGCUAUCAGAUGAGCCUAGGUCGGAUUAGCUAGUUGGUGAGGUAAUGGCUCACCAAGGCGACGAUCCGUAACUGGUCUGAGAGGAUGAUCAGUCACACUGGAACUGAGACACGGUCCAGACUCCUACGGGAGGCAGCAGAA